Molecule: ribosomal RNA, 390 nt
Filed under: uncultured Streptococcus sp.
Lineage: Bacteria; Bacillati; Bacillota; Bacilli; Lactobacillales; Streptococcaceae
Description: bacterial SSU rRNA
Rfam family: Bacterial small subunit ribosomal RNA
Source: RNAcentral
GAUGCUAUUUCUAGAGAUAGAAAGUUACUUCGGUACAUCGGUGACAGGUGGUGCAUGGUUGUCGUCAGCUCGUGUCGUGAGAUGUUGGGUUAAGUCCCGCAACGAGCGCAACCCCUAUUGUUAGUUGCCAUCAUUCAGUUGGGCACUCUAACGAGACUGCCGGUAAUAAACCGGAGGAAGGUGGGGAUGACGUCAAAUCAUCAUGCCCCUUAUGACCUGGGCUACACACGUGCUACAAUGGUUGGUACAACGAGUUGCGAGUCGGUGACGGCGAGCUAAUCUCUUAAAGCCAAUCUCAGUUCGGAUUGUAGGCUGCAACUCGCCUACAUGAAGUCGGAAUCGCUAGUAAUCGCGGAUCAGCACGCCGCGGUGAAUACGUUCCCGGGCCUU